Molecule: long non-coding RNA, 3655 nt
Organism: Panthera uncia (snow leopard)
Lineage: Eukaryota; Metazoa; Chordata; Mammalia; Carnivora; Felidae
Exons: 3
Source: RefSeq, a predicted model, not a curated record
ACAAGUGUUUCCAUGGCUGCUUCUUCACAGUGUUUAUGGUAUAUAUGCAGCCAUUAGGCACAGGAAUCCAGCCAGAUAAAUUAAGGAGAAAUGCUCAUCUUUCAUUUACAUCCAGGCUUCGGAACACUGGAAACACUAAAUGCAACUCAGGCUAUUCUUCCAUCUGCUUCUAUCUGCUCUUCCAGAGACCAAACAGCCAAUAUGUAGAGAGUACAGCAUUAAUCAUUCAUAUAAAAGUCUGUGUCAUUAAAGUACCUUCAGUGGAUUGUUGUUCAUGGAUUUCAUUUGGCUCUGUAUUAGGAGGCAUAACCGGUCACAUGUCUCUGAUAGUACAGCCACAGGAGAAAACAACACUUACAAAGUAUCUAGCAGAAACAGUAGAAAACGUGGUCUACGGAUGUCAACUGGAAUCAUUAUAUGGUAUCAUGUACAGUGAAUGAUCAGAGUCUGGUAACGUAGUAAUGUGAACACUCAGAAGGUGUGCAAAAAACUUUGUGGGAGAUGAAUGGCUAGCAUCUGAUCUGAAACUAUCUCAAUUUUUCAGAACAUGCUAAUUUCUAUUACAAAUGCACAUGGAGUUAAACUUGAGUAGCACAAUGAAUUAGAAAUAGAUGCUAGGAUGGGGCACCUGGGUGGCUCAGUCGGUUAAGCGUCCGACUUCGGCUCAGGUCAUGAUCUCGUGGUCCGUGAGUUCGAGCCCCGCAUCGGGCUCUGUGCUGACAGCUUGGAGCCUGGAGCCUACUUUGGAUUCUGUGUCUCCCUCUCUCUCUGUUCCUCCCCUGCUCGCACUCUCUCUCUCCUUCUCUCAAAAAUAAAGAUUAAAAAAAAUUAAAAAAAAGAAAUAGAUGCUAGGACUUUUCCCUAAUGAAACACACCUGUCUGUUUAUAGCUGUUAGACUCCUUGGCAUUACCGACAGACUCUAUGCUACAGUUCGACAGAGUGGUGAGGUAUUUGGCUCAGUAAAAAAUAUGAAAGCUAGCCAUCUCAGCACCGGUUUUCGAAGUAAGAUACAUGCAUGCACUGUGGUAUGCAAAAUCUUAGAAUUUCUAUUUAAAACUAACUUUUACCUAAAAAAUGGAAAAAAAAAUAUUAGGUUCCGCUAAUAAUGUACAGACUGUAUGCAGAACAUGUAUAAAUAUACAAAAUAUCAGGAAGCGGACGCUCCCUCUGAUAGGGGAGGUCAAUGAAAAAUGCACAGAGACCCCUGCUUUAAGGAACACAGCCUCCUGAAGGAAGGAGCCUUCUCUUCCCUUCAUGUUCUAUUCCGGUAUAGUUUUUUACGUGUACAUGGUCACUGGCAUAAAGGAAGUACAGGGGAAAAGGCUAGGUCAGCAAGCAACUGGAGAAGACAGAGAAAUGGGAAUGUGAGCAAGCCAAGUCCAGAAGACAGCCGCACAAAGUACCUUGGUGCAGCUGUAAUGACAGGACAGAGCAGACAGUCACACAGCCUCAUCACGCUCUUAUCAAGACACCGAGAACCACAAAGACUCUCUGAAAAUGAUCACGGAGGUUCAAAAGCUAUUUUCAGUGAAGAGCUGGGAAAGCCUAGCACAAGUGUAGUCACAUAACAGACAUCUUUCAAAACAAAACAUGUGUUUCUUGGAGAACAAGUGCAAAAAGGGUUCCUUGGUGCAAAAGGUGGAAGCUCUUACGAUAGUCUCUAACUUGCCUGAAUGGCAGCUUGAAUUCCCACGGAAAGUAUCUAGUGCAGGGGUCGGCAUAUAAUAGGUGCUUAAUAAAGCUUUGCAGAACAAACAGAUGGAAUACAAAACUGCAUACCCACAAACAUCGAACUUAAAACCCACGCGGUGUAAAGCUCUGUAUCUGUUACCUAGAUGUUUAUUGCAUAGGUAACUUUUCGAAUCUAAAAGCCCAGGGGACCACAACUUAUCAGAAUUUUCUGCCUCCUGAGUCCCUGGAUCUCUGGUUUAAUUAACUCUAAUAGCUCUGGGAUCCUACUCAUCUUUACCCGAAAGCUUACCUGAGUGCAAUAUAAACAAGUAGUGAAAUGUCCACAGAAGGAAUAUAGUAAAAUCUGAGCAGAAGCAAAGACGGCGGGGGAUGAAUAGUUGAAGCUUGAGAUUUUCAGGGCAGCGAAACUAUUCUACGUGUUGUAAUAGUGAUUGCAUGACAUCACGCAUUGGUCAAAAACCCACAGGCCAUCUGAUCCAGUAAUUCCAAUUCUGGGCAUAAAAAAAUUGAAAGCAGCGACUCAAGCAGGUAUGUUUAUACCAAUCUUCAUUAGCAGCAUUAUAGCCAUGAAGCAGAAACAACCCAAGUGUCUACUGACAGAUGAAUGGAUAAACAGAAUGUGGUUGAUGCGUACAAUGGAAUGUUAUUCAGCCUUAAAAAGGAACGAAAUUCUGAUACACCCUACAACACGGGUGAACCUCGAAGACACUGCUGUCCUAAGUGAAAUAAGCCAGACAUACUUAUAUGAACGAGGUACAUAAAAGAGUCAAAUACACAGAGACAGCUGAACGGUGGUUACCAGGGGUGAUGCAGAGUUACGGUUCCAUGGGUACAGAGUUUUGGCGCAGGAUCGUGAAAAAGUGCUAGAGCCAGAGACGCAUGGUGGUGAUGACUGCAUAACAAUGUGAAUGUAGUAAACACCGCUGAACCGAACGUGGAAAAACAGUCGAAAUGGGUGGCCUAAACAUAAAGCGAGAACUACAAACUUGACUGCCUACCAGGGAAAGACACUGAAAGUGAACCAGCAGAGGACAAACACGAAUGGUCAGAGCAGUGACUCAAUGAGAAGCACAAUUCUUACCUAAAUGCAUUUUAAAAACAACAAAUCUCAACACUAUGCGAGCCAAAGAAAACUUACAUCUCAGGCUAAUGUGGCCUACAGACUUCCAGACCUCUGUGUGCUUUGCCAAAUGUCUCCUCGAAGGGAAAAUCGUGUGGCAGAGAAUAAAAGCUUAAAAAGAAAAAAAAAAGCACAAAUCUCCAAGAUUCCUUUCUCAUAAAGGGGCCUACUCGUACAAGUAAGUAAGUUCUUCUCUUCCCUAUUCUCGUUUUCUACAAGAGAACUUAACUAUGACCAGCUAUUAUUUAUGACUAAAUGCAAUUUUUGGAUUAGAAAUAUUGUUACACAUUGAUCCUAAGAUUAAUUUUUUUUUAACAGAUUACAUGAGGUAAAUGGAACAAAGCCUCUGCAUGCCUACCUUGCGCAUCUGACUUAGCAGAUGAAUCAGGACAAGGCACACGGGGUACAGGCCUUGGAGGUCAGAAAACAGGCCAGCAUUUCAUCAAGCCUUGCCUCCUCAGCCAGGUGUUUUGUGCAGCACAUAAUAUACAACUGUAACCCAACAGCUAGAAAUGCUACUUUAAUAAAGGAAGUAUUCGGAUUCUGUGAAUCAGUACUUUCUAGCCUACCGUGUCUCUCUCUUCACCUGAUGGACCACCCGAAAUUUACAAACUAUCUAACAUGUCAAAAUACUUGAAACUCUCGCAAUGACCUUCAGUGGUCGCGUAUGGAACCUCUGACCUGAAUCCUCCCUCCCGUCAAAUACUUCAGGCUGGCUAACAACCGCCCUGCCCACCCCGUUCUUCUCACUUUGCUGUCUGGAGAGGUGGUAUCGUAGCCUGGUUAUGAACUAGGCCUCCCGGCACAGCUCCCACCUGGCUCUCAGUGCCUCAGCUCUGCAG